This 548-nucleotide long non-coding RNA is filed under the name Homo sapiens (human). RNAcentral describes it as "non-protein coding lnc-ASIC3-3:1". Lineage: Eukaryota; Metazoa; Chordata; Mammalia; Primates; Hominidae. The record is from RNAcentral.
CUUUUAUGUGCUCCCAGCCCUCUUGAAAAGGGCCGCUCCGGGACUACGCGUUCCAGAAUGCAGCGGAAAUGGGGGCGGAGCGCUCUCGGUUAGGGGUUUGGGGUUUGGCGGCCUAGAUCCCGGGCACUGGCGGCCCAGCGCUGACCUGGUUGGUGGCAUUGUGUUCCCAACGGCCUCUUGACGACCUCAGCACGGGUUUCCACCUCUCCCCAAGCCACCUAGUGACCCCAGAAUUGACUGGGGAAUGCCUGUGAGCGAUGAUGACCUCACAGGGAACAGCUGACCGCAGGGCUGGGAGAACAGCUGUGCCCCUUCGAGGCUGGAUUUUAGUGGAGGGACACACGCCAAAGACCCCCUCUCUGCUGAGCCCCGUUUGUUGUCUCGGAGCCCACCCGACUCUAGCCGCUGAACUCUGACAUGCUGAGGAAAACUGGGUGGAGCCCUGGGGGUCCCCCUCAGACCCCAGUCUCCGGAACAGGGCCCACUGGAGUCAGCCAGGGUGUGGCAGGCAGGUUAUGCCUCCGCCUCGUUGCCCUGAAAGCCGCAGC